RNAcentral lists this ribosomal RNA (373 nucleotides) under uncultured organism. Its description in RNAcentral is "partial 16S ribosomal RNA". It matches the Rfam family "Bacterial small subunit ribosomal RNA", at positions 527 to 896 of the family's 1533-position model. The record is from RNAcentral.
GUAGGUGGCAAGCGUUGUCCGGAAUUAUUGGGGCGUAAAGCGCGCGCAGGCGGUUCUUUAAGUCUGAUGUGAAAGCCCACGGGCUCAACCGUGGAGGGUCAUUGGAAACUGGAGAACUUGAGUACAGAAGAGGAAAGCAGAAUUCCACGUGUAGCGGUGAAAUGCGUAGAGAUGUGGAGGAACACCAGUGGCGAAGGCGGCUUUCUGGUCUGUAACUGACGCUGAGGCGCGAAAGCGUGGGGAGCAAACAGGAUUAGAUACCCUGGCAGUCCACGCCGUAAACGAUGAGUGCUAAGUGUUAGGGGGUUUCCGCCCCUUAGUGCUGCAGCUAACGCAUUAAGCACUCCGACUGGGGAGUACGGCCGCAAGGCUG